Coffea arabica (coffee) is the source of this 594-nucleotide non-coding RNA. NCBI's taxonomy places the organism in Eukaryota, Viridiplantae, Streptophyta, Magnoliopsida, Gentianales, Rubiaceae. The record is from RefSeq and is a predicted model, not a curated record.
CUCAUUUGUGUAUAUAGACUGCGAGGGCCAAACGUAAGUUUGUGGCUGAGGGCUUGACAACUUUGGUUGAUGUUGGGGGUGGCAUAAGCAAAAUUGCUAAGGCCAAUGCCCAAACCUUUCCUAGCAUCAACUGCACUGUGUUUGAUCCCCCACAUAUAAUUGCUAAUCAAGAAGGAGCUGAGAACUUGGACUUCGUUGCUGGAGAUUUGUUUGAAAGUGUACCCCAUGCCAAUGCAAUCUUACUCUAGUAGAUCCUCCAUGAUAGGAGUGAUCAAGACUGAAAAUUCAAAAGAACUGCAGAAAGGUCAUUCCAGAGAAAGACUGGUGGUAAAGUGAUCAUUAUAGAUAGUCUAAUGGAAAGCCAGAUACAAGAUAAAGUACAACUUCAAACACAGAUCGACAUGGACAUGCAGAUGCUGAUCACGUUCGGUCCUGCUACAGAAAGAACUGAGAAGGAAUGGGAAAACUCUUUGUGGAUGCUGGAUUUAAGCUACCAAGUAUAUCCAGUCUGGGUGCAAGGUGUCUGGUUGAGGUUUAUCCUCAGAUAGAGGAACACUUGCUACUGUGAAUGAAUGAUUAAUUGUCGGUUUUACU